RNAcentral lists this ribosomal RNA (253 nucleotides) under uncultured bacterium. RNAcentral describes it as "partial 16S ribosomal RNA". It matches the Rfam family "Bacterial small subunit ribosomal RNA", at positions 524 to 776 of the family's 1533-position model. The record is from RNAcentral.
UACAGAGGUGGCAAGCGUUGUUCGGAAUUACUGGGCGUAAAGGGCGAGUAGGCGGCCUUCUAAGUCAGACGUGAAAUCCCCCGGCUUAACCUGGGAACUGCGUCUGAUACUGGGAGGCUAGAGUAUGGGAGAGGGAUGUAGAAUUCCAGGUGUAGCGGUGAAAUGCGCAGAUAUCGGGAGGAACACCGGUGGCGAAGGCGGUUCUCUGGGCCUUACCUGACGCUGAGGAGCGAAAGCGUGGGGAGCGAACAGG